Molecule: non-coding RNA, 24 nt
Filed under: Arabidopsis thaliana (thale cress)
Lineage: Eukaryota; Viridiplantae; Streptophyta; Magnoliopsida; Brassicales; Brassicaceae
Source: RNAcentral
UGCCUAGGACCAUUUAGCAAGCGC